RNAcentral lists this ribosomal RNA (496 nucleotides) under uncultured bacterium. Its description in RNAcentral is "partial 16S ribosomal RNA". It matches the Rfam family "Bacterial small subunit ribosomal RNA", at positions 29 to 507 of the family's 1533-position model. The record is from RNAcentral.
AUGCACGCUGGCGGCGUGCCUAAUACAUGCAAGUCGAGCGAACAGAUGAGGAGCUUGCUCCUCUGACGUUAGCGGCGGACGGGUGAGUAACACGUGGAUAACCUACCUAUAAGACUGGGAUAACUUCGGGAAACCGGAGCUAAUACCGGAUAAUAUAUUGAACCGCAUGGUUCAAUAGUGAAAGACGGUUUUGCUGUCACUUAUAGAUGGAUCCGCGCCGCAUUAGCUAGUUGGUAAGGUAACGGCUUACCAAGGCAACGAUGCGUAGCCGAACUGAGAGGGGGGUCGGCCGCCCGGGAACGGGAACAGGGUCCAGGCGCCUAAGGGAGGCCACAGUAGGGAAACGUCCGCAAUAGGCGGAAACCUGGCGGAACGACGGCAAGUGAGAGGUAGAAGUCCUCGGAGCGGGAAACUCUGUUUUUAGGGGAAAACCAAUUUGGAAGUAAACAAACACGGCUUGACGGUAACUUAUCAAAAAGCCACGGCUAACUACGUG